Molecule: non-coding RNA, 27 nt
Filed under: Mus musculus (house mouse)
Lineage: Eukaryota; Metazoa; Chordata; Mammalia; Rodentia; Muridae
Source: RNAcentral
UGCAGAGUCACAGCCCAUACCACAGAC